This 253-nucleotide ribosomal RNA is filed under the name uncultured prokaryote. Its description in RNAcentral is "partial 16S ribosomal RNA". It matches the Rfam family "Bacterial small subunit ribosomal RNA", at positions 524 to 776 of the family's 1533-position model. The record is from RNAcentral.
UACGUAGGCAGCAAGCGUUGUUCGGAGUUACUGGGCGUAAAGAGUGCGUAGGCGGUGCCCUAAGUCUGUUGUGAAAUCUCCCGGCUUAACUGGGAGGGUGCGGUGGAAACUGGGGUGCUUGAGUGUGGGAGAGGUUAGCGGAAUUCCUGGUGUAGCGGUGAAAUGCGUAGGUAUCGGGAGGAACACCAGUGGCGAAGGCGAUCAUCUGGGGUUGUUCUGACGCUGAGGAGCGAAAGCUAGGGGAGCAAACGGG